UACGGCUCAGUAACACGUAGACAAUCUACCUUAGGGAGGAAGAUAACCUCGGGAAACUGAGGACAAUACUCCAUAGGCCGCAAGCACUGGAAUGACUGCGGUCUAAAGGCUAAAACUAAUGCUGUUGACGCGCCCUAAGACGAGUCUGCGGCGGAUUAGGUAGACGGCGGGGUAACGGCCCACCGUGCCUUUGAUCCGUACCGGCCCUGAGAGGGGGAGCCGGGAGAUGGACACUGAGACAAAGGUCCAGGCUCUAAGGAGCGCAGCAGUCGCGAAAACUUCGCAAUACGCGCAAGCGUGACGAGGGAACCCCAAGUGUACUAGUACAACUAGUACUUUUACGGAGUGUAAAAAGCUCCGGGAAUAAGGUCUGGGUAAGACUGGUGCCAGCCUCCGCGGUAACACCAGCAGAUCAAGUGGUAACCGCGUUUACUGGGCUUGAAGCGUCCGUAGUCGGUCAUGCAAGUCUCCUGUGAAAUCCUGCGGCUCAACCGUAGGGCUUGCAGGAGAUACUACAAGACUAGAGGCCGGGAGAGGAUGGGGGUAUUCUGGGGGUAGCGGUGAAAUGCUAUAAUCCCUGGAGGACCACCGGUAGCGAAGGCGCCCAUCUGGAACGGGCCUGACGAUGAGGGACGAGAGCUAGGGGAGCAAACCGGAUUAGAUACCCGGGUAGUCCUAGCCGUAAACGAUGCGGGCUGAGUGUUUCCUGAACCUCGUGUUCAGGAAGUGCUGAAGGGAAACCGUUAAGUCCGCCGCCUGGGGAGUACGGCCGCAAGACUGAAACUUAAAGGAAUUGGCGGGGGAGCACCACAAGGGGUGGAUGCUGCGGUUCAAUUGGAUACAACGCCGGGCAACUCACCAGGGGCGACGGCAGUAUGAAGGCCAGGCUAAAGGUCUUGCCGGACGAGCCGAGAGGUAGUGCAUGGCCGUCGUCAGCUCGUACCGUGAGGCGUACGGUUAAGUCCGUUAACGAGCGAGACCCCCGCC
This 987-nucleotide ribosomal RNA is filed under the name uncultured archaeon. RNAcentral describes it as "bacterial SSU rRNA". It matches the Rfam family "Archaeal small subunit ribosomal RNA", at positions 84 to 1058 of the family's 1478-position model. The record is from RNAcentral.